CAACGAAUAUUCCGCAAUGGGCGAAAGCCUGACGGAGCGACGCCGCGUGUGGGAAGAAGUCCUUCGGGAUGUAAACCACUGUCAGGGGCUGCCAAAUCAAUGAGGAGCCCCAGAGGAAGCCACGGCUAACCCCGUGCCAGCAGCCGCGGUAAGACAGAGGUGGCUAGCGUUGUUCGGAAUCAUUGGGCUUAAAGCGCACGUAGGCGGCUCUUCAAGUGUCUUGUGAAAUCCCUCGGCUUAACCGAGGAAUGGCUGGGCAUACUGUUGAGCUUGAGGCAGGUAGGGGCGAGUGGAACUCUUGGUGGAGCGGUGGAAUGCGUAGAUAUCAAGAGGAACGCCGGAUGGUGAAGACGACUCGCUGGGCCUGUCCUGACGCUGAGGUGCGAAAGCCAGGGGAGCAAACGGGAUUAGAUACCCCGGUAGUCCUGGCCCUAAACGAUGUCUACUAGGUCGGAGGCACUCUGACGUGGUUCUGGCCGGAAUGAAACGUUAAG
This 494-nucleotide ribosomal RNA is filed under the name uncultured bacterium. RNAcentral's name for it is "bacterial SSU rRNA". It matches the Rfam family "Bacterial small subunit ribosomal RNA", at positions 355 to 864 of the family's 1533-position model. The record is from RNAcentral.